CGGGGGGAGCAAGCGUUGUUCGGAUUUACUGGGCGUAAAGGGCGCGUAGGCGGCGUGACAAGUCACUUGUGAAAUCUCCGGGCUUAACUCGGAACGGUCAAGUGAUACUGUCGUGCUAGAGUACAGAAGGGGCAACUGGAAUUCUCGGUGUAGCGGUGAAAUGCGUAGAUAUCGAGAGGAACACCUGCGGCGAAGGCGGGUUGCUGGGCUGAUACUGACGCUGAGGCGCGAAAGCCAGGGGAGCGAACGGGAUUAGAUACCCCGGUAGUCCUGGCCUUAAACGAUGAAUGCUUGGUGUCUCGGGUUAUAAAGUCCCGGGGUGCCGUCGCUAACGCUUUUAGCAUUCCGCCUGGGGAGUACGGUCGCAAGACUG
Molecule: ribosomal RNA, 373 nt
Filed under: uncultured organism
Description: bacterial SSU rRNA
Rfam family: Bacterial small subunit ribosomal RNA
Source: RNAcentral